This 253-nucleotide ribosomal RNA is filed under the name uncultured bacterium. RNAcentral's name for it is "partial 16S ribosomal RNA". It matches the Rfam family "Bacterial small subunit ribosomal RNA", at positions 524 to 776 of the family's 1533-position model. The record is from RNAcentral.
UACGUAGGGGGCAAGCGUUAUCCGGAUUUACUGGGUGUAAAGGGAGCGUAGACGGCGAUGCAAGCCAGAUGUGAAAGCCCGGGGCUCAACCCCGGGACUGCAUUUGGAACUGUGUGGCUGGAGUGUCGGAGAGGCAAGUGGAAUUCCUAGUGUAGCGGUGAAAUGCGUAGAUAUUAGGAGGAACACCAGUGGCGAAGGCGGCUUACUGGACUGUAACUGACGUUGAGGCUCGAAAGCGUGGGGAGCAAACAGG